CACACCAUUUCUACUGUGGUCUUUGAUUUUUUUGCUUUAUAGGGAUUAGCAUACAUGUUUCUGAAAAUUGAAAAGUCAGGAGAGUAGAGUUCUGUGGAUCAGCAUUCUAGAAUGAUGUGGCUGUGCUCUCUGCUGACAGAAUUGGUCGGGGAUAGACGUGCUCAAAGCAGGCAAUGAAAUCAUCCACUGAAGCAUGUGUGGUCCACGGUGGAGCUGGUGUUUGAAUCUUCCACUGCCUUUCCUCAGGCUGUGCCUUUAUUGCUUCCGCUCACACCUGGAAUAGGAUUUGAGUGGAAAUGUGAUUGGAGUAGAAGGCAUCAGGGAGGGAGCCUGAGCUGAGACCACAUCUUGAAAACACAGAAUUGAGGGAGCAGAUGGAAGAAAGAAAGUCAGC
RNAcentral lists this long non-coding RNA (394 nucleotides) under Equus asinus (donkey). Its description in RNAcentral is "lncRNA (ENSEASG00005025247.1)". Lineage: Eukaryota; Metazoa; Chordata; Mammalia; Perissodactyla; Equidae. The record is from RNAcentral.